GUGAUUAAUGGGAGAUCCCUGCUAAAUGUUCAGCCAACUUCUGAGCCGGCCUACGAGGACAAGAGGACAAUCCUCCCACUUUUCACUUUCCCCUUCCUUCUAUCAGCCAGCUCUGGGGGCAUUUAAAGGACUGGACAGGACAACCAGGAAUGUUGGCUGCAGCCCAGAUGGAGAAAAAUGCAUUCAGACCUGCAUCCACCAACAUGAAGUCAUUCCUGUUUUUUGUUUGAUUUGAACCAAGAUUAAAGAACUGCUUCCUGGUGGAGCUCCGUCUGCGCUUGUUCACUGCAGGUUUGCUGCUGUGUUGGGAUCCUUGUUCUAUAGAUGACCCAGUUUGGACCAAGCUCCAGCUACAGAUGGACCCACAUUUAGACUACUUUGGUUUACAGAGGAGUUCAUGAUCGACUCAGUGAGAACAAGGUGCCCUCAUUGUUUUAUGGUCAAACAUCUCUACUUUGGUUCCAUCUUGGUCUUGUGCUUCAUUCAGAUGCCAAUUUGCAAACUUAAGUCCUGUUUCAAUCUUGUUCUUAGUAAAAGUCUCUCCUUCAUCACUUCCAAACAUGGAAUUAUAGUCUUCCAGAUUGUUUUGUCAUAAACAUUGUCAUUUUACCUACUAACUGAGGCCUGUUGAGUCUGAGAUGGAGCUCCUGGUUUUCUUGUCACUGGAAACCUCUGACCAUGGACCACUGCUGGCAGGUUGUGAAGGAUCAAGGCCCCCACCACACCCUCAAAAAAAGAACAUGUGAAAAAGAUCUAAACUAGACAAAAAAAAAUCAAGAUUAAAGCACAACGAAACCCAGACAACUCAUAAGUCACAGAAUAAAACCAUCUAGAACCAGGGACA
Molecule: long non-coding RNA, 844 nt
Organism: Girardinichthys multiradiatus
Lineage: Eukaryota; Metazoa; Chordata; Actinopteri; Cyprinodontiformes; Goodeidae
Exons: 4
Source: RefSeq, a predicted model, not a curated record